This is a long non-coding RNA of Chroicocephalus ridibundus (black-headed gull), 910 nucleotides long. RefSeq lists it as uncharacterized. NCBI's taxonomy places the organism in Eukaryota, Metazoa, Chordata, Aves, Charadriiformes, Laridae. The record is from RefSeq and is a predicted model, not a curated record. The transcript is spliced from 3 exons.
UCUCCGGUUGAGCUCUUGCUGUAAGAACACCAACCUGACCAGCAUCAUUUUUGUCGGUGCAUACGAAAAAUCUGUAGGUGAAGCCACGUUAUCCGGAGCCCCCUUUGCCUGACAGGGGCUUUACAAAGGAAGGUCAGUCACCAGGUACCCAUUACACAGACAAGGAAGCUGAGACUCGCGCAAAGCCUCUGGCAAAAGUGGAAACGAAACCUCGGGCUGUGAUCCUGCAUUAACUCCCUUCUGGAUCUGCCUGCCUGGAGCUCCUUACAGGCGAGCAGGCUGGGACCAGACCGGUGAAGACGUACUCUCUUCGUGCUUGCUGAUACGGCUGGUCCCCAAAAAAGCUGCUUCUCGCUGCUCCUGGCACCAGCCCAGACCUCUCCCACCGCAGGAUUCGAUUGUGGCAGGGCUCCGCACCCAGCUGCUGCUCUUCAGAGGUCUCGAGGAGGAGGAGAAGGCAAGAGGUAACUUUUAUUUGGGGAUUUCAGUGAGAGCCAAGCGCUCUCAUCAGCCUGGCCCCUAAUCUCAGGGUGCUCAGAGGAUGUCUACGCUGGCGGAUGAAAGCCGUCCAGGGACUGACCCGUCCUGACCGGCUGAUGGAGCAGGAUGGCCGUGUCCGCACUGCGAAGGAGGUGAUCCCCAGGCUCCUGCGGGCCCCCUUGUUUGCAAGGGCUCUCUCGCUCAGCUGGGAACCUGGAGAUCCGAGCCCAUGACCUGACCACUGAUUUACUCGGGGACUUUGUGCAUAGUGCUUGUCAGAUACUGAACUGCAGGUUCCAGUCCUACUGACCACCACCCGUGAGGAGAAGACCACCCAAAUUCCAGCAGGCUCUCCGCUGCUGCUCUGGAUGCAGGAGCUCUACAGCAGGGCAGCAAACGUGACAAAAAGCUGGCAGGCAGGACACGGUGA